Molecule: ribosomal RNA, 468 nt
Filed under: uncultured bacterium
Lineage: Bacteria
Description: partial 16S ribosomal RNA
Rfam family: Bacterial small subunit ribosomal RNA
Source: RNAcentral
GACGAACGCUGGCGGCGUGCUUAACACAUGCCAGUCGAACGGAAAGGCCCUGCUUUUGUGGGGUGCUCGAGUGGCGAACGGGUGAGUAACACGUGAGUAACCUGCCCUUGACUUUGGGAUAACUUCAGGAAACUGGGGCUAAUACCGGAUAGGAUCUCCUGCUGCAUGGUGGGGGUUGGAAAUUUUCGGCGGUUGGGGAUGGACUCGCGGCUUAUCAGCUUGUUGGUGGGGUAGUGGCUUACCAAGGCUUUGACGGGUAGCCGGCCUGAGAGGGUGACCGGCCACAUUGGGACUGAGAUACGGCGCAGACUCCUACGGGAGGCAGCAGUGGGGAAUAUUGCACAAUGGGCGGAAGCCUGAUGCAGCAACGCCGCGUGCGGGAUGACGGCCUUCGGGUUGUAAACCGCUUUCGCCUGUGACGAAGCGUGAGUGACGGUAAUGGGUAAAGAAGCACCGGCUAACUACGUG